AGAAGAUGCUCUCUGGAAUGGUGGUAUUAAGAGUGGUCAGAAAUUUGCCACAUCCAAGCCUGGUGCUCAGGGUCCCUGGGAAUGAAGGGAAUGAAGAAUGACUGAUUCCAUUAGUACAGAUCAUUCAUCAAGGCAUUUGCAAGCAACUACUGAUGUAAGAUUGAUAACUGUUCAUUGGAUUAACAUGGAUUCACAACAAUUUGCAUGAAGAGAACUGCAGUUUCUCAGAUGGGGAAAAGAUAAUAUUAGCUUAUAAGAGUGAUCUGAUGGCCAUUUGUGCCUCAGGUGCUUAGGUUAUGCUUUCCACUCGGCAAUCUUGACCCAACAAUAACUAACAGAGUCCAAAUGUCUUCAUUACAGGACCUCACAAAUAAACAUAAAACAGGCAUGAAGGUGCA
This 398-nucleotide long non-coding RNA is filed under the name Anser brachyrhynchus (Pink-footed goose). RNAcentral's name for it is "lncRNA (ENSABRG00000006577.1)". Lineage: Eukaryota; Metazoa; Chordata; Aves; Anseriformes; Anatidae. The record is from RNAcentral.